GAAUUCUAAAUGGUUAUUUCUCCCUCUUGGUAUCACAGUCAAAGAAAUCUACUCUCCAGAUGUGCUCAUUAAGCUUCUUUCUCUGCUUAUCUCCAAAUCUCCCAAGCCAGGACAACAAUGCAGUAUGAAGAGGACUUCAGAGUUAGGUCAUGCAAGAUAAGCAAACUGAGUCUCAGAUAGGAGAAAUAACCUUCCUGAAGUCACACAAUGAAUUGGUGGAAGAACAAGGCCUGGAACGCAGGUCUUCUAAUUCCCAACCAAUUAAAGUCAACAAAUACAAGUGCCUAUGAAUGCCAUACAUUGCG
Phascolarctos cinereus (koala) is the source of this 305-nucleotide long non-coding RNA. RefSeq lists it as uncharacterized. The record is from RefSeq and is a predicted model, not a curated record. Lineage: Eukaryota; Metazoa; Chordata; Mammalia; Diprotodontia; Phascolarctidae.